GGGGGUGUAAUUGGUACUCGACCUGCAAAGUACGGCAGAGACAGCGAGCCGAGAUUGCUAUUAACUCGUUAACUAGUAGCAACUUAAAAUUAUCUGCAAACGAUAAUAAUUAUACUUUAGCUGCUGCGUAAGCACCAGCUUUAUGCUUAUAAGCCUCUUGUCUGUGGAGUCUUAUAAGUACCAUAAUCAGCAGACUACUCACUUUCUAAUGCUUGUAGGAUAGUGGGGAACUUUACAAGCUAGUACCUUAAUAUCAUGCUUGUAUGAGAUUAGGGUAUGAUUCUAAAUUACAAGCUACGCUCGUAGAACCUCUAGUUAAGCUUUGUAGGGACGGCGGUUCGACUCCGCCCACCUCCACCA
RNAcentral lists this transfer-messenger RNA (360 nucleotides) under Orenia metallireducens. RNAcentral's name for it is "Standard tmRNA". It matches the Rfam family "transfer-messenger RNA". Rfam says of the family: Bacterial tmRNA, also known as 10Sa RNA or SsrA, is named for its dual tRNA and mRNA-like properties. Its role is to liberate the mRNA from a stalled ribosome. The record is from Rfam by way of RNAcentral. Lineage: Bacteria; Bacillati; Bacillota; Clostridia; Halanaerobiales; Halobacteroidaceae.